AUCUUUAUGGUUUUUCAAAAUUAUCUAUAAUAAGUAUGUAUGUCCUACAUCAUAAAAGGAAUUAACUUAUAAUAUUAUUAAAAUAGCCUACAGGGAAGUUACUUACGUACAUAUUCAAUUCUCAGCGUUGCUCACAAACUCAACGUCCCAUGGAAACAUAUCUAAAUAAUACUGUCUUCUUGGCAUCUAAUAUUCACUGUUUUUUAAAGUUCUUUUCUCACCAACCCAGAGAUAAGUAAACAUUGUGAUAAAUCCAGAUCUGGGAGCAGUAAAGCCCCAGGUCAGGAAAUUCACAAAAGGUAAACCCUGCAGGUGGCAGAAAAGUUUGUGAAAUUGUUCUGGGAAAACUGUUUCCCUCUAACUGCAAAGGACGAGAAUCUACUUCUGGGUCAGCUGUGGUUUGAUAUCCCAUUGGGAAUAGAUUUCAGGAGUUUGGGAUGUUUUGUUUUGCCCUUAAUUAGUUUCCUUCACUUUGACAGCAUCACAGGACUAGGGUGCCAUACUCCAACUUGACGUCUGCUGUUGUCACAGAGUAAUUAGUAAUAAGCAUGUUCCCUUUUACAGCCAGAGCGUCUCCGUGUACACAACAGUGUGUGUGUGUACUCUUUGUAAGACCUACCCAAAUAGCAGUGAGUCAGGUUUUAACAAAGGUCUGUAACCAACAAUAUGGAGAGAAUUGAUCCUUAAGUUAACUACCUAAGAAGGACAUCUGGGGGGGUUGGGAAGGUUUGUUUGUUUUUGUUGUUGUUGUUGUUGUUUGUUUUGGUUUGUCUUUGAAAAAUUUGCUUGGUCUUAUUUUUACUGAGGUAUAAUCAACAUGCAACAUUAUAUCAUUAUACCAGAAGCUGAUACAAUGUCAUAUGUUUCAGUGUUUGAUGAGCUUUCUGGCUGGAGAAGUUAUAGAUCAGUCUUCUGGUCUACCUGAGAGCCCCAUACCUUGUAUGUUUCCCUUCUCUAGCUGGGGGCCUAGCACAGAAGCACUUGGUAGAAAUGAGACAACCCAGACUGAAAAUGGAACUUGCUGUGUUACUGAUAGAGAUGAUGGAGGAGUCCAUUACUUGGGCUUAUCUAUUCAUCAUUUCUGUGGUCGGCAUAGAGCAGAUGCGCCAGUGAACUGAGUCACCAGGCUGGAUCCUGGUGAAGAUAAAAAAUCAUGAACACAGAGACACCACCUGUGAAUUAAAGCGUAGUGCAGAAGACGAAAUAUAUACACAGCAUGUUUUUGGUUUGUUGGUGCAUAAUCUUGAUAACCUGCAACACGGGUCUACAUUUUCUCCCUGCUAACCUGCGUCUCCUUACUUUGCUCUGUGUGAGCUCGUGGGCUCCUUAGAUGCAAGACGGAGUAUGAAUUUAACUGACGAAGACCUAUUAAUGAGGAGCUAUAGGUGAAGGAGACGGAGCCCUAUCCUAAAAAGGCCUCAGACACUCAUGAAAAGCUUAAGGACAAGACGGUCUGAAUGGCAAGUGCCAGAUGAAUGCAGUAGAAUCUUAGAGGAAAAAGAGAGGACACAGGGUUUGGAGAGACAAGGAGGAGUCUCUGGCAGGAAGUAAGUGUGAACUAGCUCUUGAGACGAGCGAGACAACCACACUAUGCAGACAGAGCUUGGGCCCCAGUGGAAGUUCUGGGACCCUGAGUGGGGCACAAAAGCAGCAGUAUAAUCCCACUGCUGGGGAGCAAAGGGGUAAACAUGGACACAGAUGCUGGUGUGCCUGUGUGAGCCAAGGACUGGAGGGACCCUUGCCCCAGUGUGAUGGCUUUAUUCUAUCUCUUAACUAGACUAAAGCCCAGAUGGUGAUGGCAGUGAGGAGAGGAGACUCCAAGGUGACUGAGAAGACACUGUCCUAUCCUAGUUGAAUGGGGCUUGAAAUUAACAUAUUAACAUGGACUAGAGAUUUGGAAAGCAAAAAAGCUAGGUUUCUUGUACACUUUUGUUUGUAGACUGAGAUGUGCUAUUUGUGUCUCUGUGCAAUCUUGAAAAUGACAAACUCACUACCUGUUCGUGCUGCUGGCCUGGGAAGGGAGCGUGGGGGAGGCUUUUGUCUCCAGAGCCAUCAUCAGUCCUGCGGUACCUGCGACUUAUCAGAGACUGACUUCCAAGCUGGAGCUGUGCACAGAGCACCACGGGUCUGGACGCUUUCCUACUGCCAAAGUGAACUCAGUACAAACUUCCACCCACUCCAACCAGAGUUGCAAAAUUGGACUACAAAUCUCAGAAAAGCAGAGAGCAUUACCUGUCAGAUGGUUAACUUGUCAUUUGCCUCAGCUCCCCCUGAAUGGGAUGGACAGUCUUCCCUGCCCUGCUUAAUUUGACAUUUCUGUUCCCCUCAUAGGUAUAAAAGAAGAAGUGUUAGAGCAAACAAAAAUUUCUUUUAAUUUCUUUAAUUUCUUUAAAAUUUCUUUUAAUAGUGGGAGAAUGUGUGUUCCAGAA
Lutra lutra (Eurasian river otter) is the source of this 2429-nucleotide long non-coding RNA. RefSeq lists it as uncharacterized. NCBI's taxonomy places the organism in Eukaryota, Metazoa, Chordata, Mammalia, Carnivora, Mustelidae. The record is from RefSeq and is a predicted model, not a curated record. The transcript is spliced from 3 exons.